CGCAAGCCUGACGGAGCAAGACCGCGUGGGGGAGGAAGGCUCUUGGGUUGUAAACCCCUUUUCUCAGGGAAGAACCAAAUGACGGUACCUGAGGAAUCAGCCUCGGCUAACUCCGUGCCAGCAGCCGCGGUAAUACGGAGGAGGCAAGCGUUAUCCGGAAUGAUUGGGCGUAAAGCGUUCGUAGGUGGCUAUUCAAGUCUGCUGUCAAAGACAGAAGCUCAACUUCUGAAAGGCAGUGGAAACUGAGUAGCUGGAGUGCGGUAGGGGCAGAGGGAAUUCCCGGUGUAGCGGUGAAAUGCGUAGAGAUCGGGAAGAACACCGGUGGCGAAAGCGCUCUGCUGGGCCGCAACUGACACUGAGGGACGAAAGCUAGGGGAGCG
RNAcentral lists this ribosomal RNA (380 nucleotides) under Limnoraphis robusta CCAP 1446/4. RNAcentral describes it as "bacterial SSU rRNA". It matches the Rfam family "Bacterial small subunit ribosomal RNA", at positions 376 to 770 of the family's 1533-position model. Lineage: Bacteria; Bacillati; Cyanobacteriota; Cyanophyceae; Oscillatoriales; Sirenicapillariaceae. The record is from RNAcentral. RNAcentral also lists the same sequence under 6 other names.